UACGUAGGGUGCGAGCGUUAAUCGGAAUUACUGGGCGUAAAGGGCGCGUAGGCGGCCGCCUAAGUCAGACGUGAAAUCCCUCGGCUCAACCGGGGAACUGCGUCUGAUACUGGGUGGCUUGAAUCCGGGAGAGGGAAGCGGAAUUCCGGGUGUAGCGGUGAAAUGCGUAGAUAUCCGGAGGAACACCUGUGGCGAAGGCGGCUUCCUGGACCGACACUGACGCUGAGGCGCGAAAGCUAGGGGAGCAAACGGG
RNAcentral lists this ribosomal RNA (253 nucleotides) under uncultured bacterium. RNAcentral describes it as "partial 16S ribosomal RNA". It matches the Rfam family "Bacterial small subunit ribosomal RNA", at positions 524 to 776 of the family's 1533-position model. The record is from RNAcentral.